CAGAAUGUUCUAUUACAUUUCUCAUCACUAUGACUAAACAACUGACAACAAGAAAGUAAAGAUCAGGAGCAUCUGACCGUCACAAGGGAAAAAUCAGAAGAUUGAUUGAGACAUUUGGCUGAAUGGAAUGGAAACUCCUCGGUGGUGCCUGUAUCCAAGACAACCAUGUCAAGAGACAGAGGCUGGCCAUGGCCACUGCCAAGCAGAAAGCCUGGAAAAGUGAAGAAAGGCCUGAUUGAUCACAAGAUUCUAUCAGAUGUCGAAGCUGGCCCUAGCUGACCUUGCAUGUACCCAGAACUGCCUGAUUUAAUCUCUACAUUAGCAGCUUCUCCUGGCUGGGAGUUCUAUCUGCAAGCCAUGCAUCAGCAUUGAGCUAUGACCUGAGUCAUGCUCCAUUCAUCUUCUCUGAAGGAAGGAAAUUAAACUAGAGGUUUGAAAGAGGAAAGUGUUCAAAAUACAUUCACAUUAGCUGACGCCUUGUGUGUGGGUGCAUUUGAGGAGCUUGAGCAACCAAUAAAAAUGAUAUGAAA
This is a long non-coding RNA of Rattus norvegicus (Norway rat), 530 nucleotides long. NCBI's taxonomy places the organism in Eukaryota, Metazoa, Chordata, Mammalia, Rodentia, Muridae. The record is from Ensembl.